Molecule: ribosomal RNA, 461 nt
Filed under: uncultured bacterium
Lineage: Bacteria
Description: partial 16S ribosomal RNA
Rfam family: Bacterial small subunit ribosomal RNA
Source: RNAcentral
CCUACGGGUGGCAGCAGUGAGGAAUAUUGGUCAAUGGGCGCGAGCCUGAACCAGCCAAGUAGCGUGAAGGAUGACUGCCCUACGGGUUGUAAACUUCUUUUAUAAAGGAAUAAAGUGAGGCACGUGUGCCUUUAUGUAUGUACUUUAUGAAUAAGGAUCGGCUAACUCCGUUCCAGCAGCCGCGGUAAUACGGAGGGUCCGAGCGUUAUCCGGAUUUAUUGGGGUUAAAGGGAGCGUAGAGGGGUUGGUAAGUCAAAGGUGAAAUGCCCCCGCUCAACGGGGUGAAGUGCCAUUGAUACUGCGGUGCUGGAGUGCAGAUGCCGUAGGAGGAAUGUGUGGUGUAGCGGUGAAAUGCAUAGAUAUCACACAGAACACCGAUUGCGAAGGCAGCUCACGAAUCCGCGAUUGACGCUGAUGCACGAAAGCGUGGGUAUCAAACAGGAUUAGAUACCCGGGUAGUC